GUUUAUCACAGUCCUUGGGUCCAAGCAGUUCUCAACCCCAACUUGGUAGCGGCACAACUCAAAUGGUAACUUUUUAGUUUUUUAUUUUUUUCAUUUAUAGAUUUACUUUAUUGGUCAUACAAUUAUUUGAAAUUGUUGUGAUUGUUUGACUCAAGCAGUUAGAGGUGGGAGGAGGGGUGGUAUAAGCAGUUCUCAACCCCAAGGUGCUACAUGGAGUUUUGGUGCAAGCAGUUCUCAGCCCCAACUUGGUAGAGGGACAACUCAAAUGGCAGUUAGAGGUGGGAGGGGUGCGUCUAUGUCUUAGCCCCAACUUGGUAGUGGUACCUCUUCUGACAUGGCAAUGUGGUAACUGUCAUGCUGUUUCAAUCCUUUUGGCCUCCCCUGAAGAAUGUUUUUUGUGUUCUUAUUUGGAGCAUAUGUGGAUAACUACCUGUCACUUUUGAUGUUACUAUUUUGUUUUGAUGGCAUGUGGACAAAUGUUUGCUCAUAGUUAGAGUUGCAUUUAGAGCAUAUGUGGAUAACCUAUUACUUUUGGGAAACUUUGCUUGCUACCUGUUGACAAUUUUUGGGAUAUUGUUGGAUAGGUUCUUGGACAGGAUAUAAUUACAUACUUAUACUCAUGGGUCUUGGGUAAACUUUUGGUUGUUUUGUGUAUGUAAUGAAGUGGAGACAGUUGGAUUGAACUAUAUAUAAGCUUUUGGUUAUUUUUUGCAUGCCACUGUGUUUUGCAAUGGAGUUCAUACUAUAUAAGCUUUUGAUUAUU
This is a long non-coding RNA of Cornus florida, 763 nucleotides long. RefSeq lists it as uncharacterized. NCBI's taxonomy places the organism in Eukaryota, Viridiplantae, Streptophyta, Magnoliopsida, Cornales, Cornaceae. The record is from RefSeq and is a predicted model, not a curated record. The transcript has 3 exons.